AUGGGAACGCGAAGAACCUUACCUACUCUUGACAUCCAGAGAACUUAGCAGAGAUGCUUUGGUGCCUUCGGGAACUCUGAGACAGGUGCUGCAUGGCUGUCGUCAGCUCGUGUUGUGAAAUGUUGGGUUAAGUCCCGCAACGAGCGCAACCCUUAUCCUUUGUUGCCAGCGGUUCGGCCGGGAACUCAAAGGAGACUGCCAGUGAUAAACUGGAGGAAGGUGGGGAUGACGUCAAGUCAUCAUGGCCCUUACGAGUAGGGCUACACACGUGCUACAAUGGCAUAUACAAAGAGAAGCGACCUCGCGAGAGCAAGCGGACCUCAUAAAGUAUGUCGUAGUCCGGAUUGGAGUCUGCAACUCGACUCCAUGAAGUCGGAAUCGCUAGUAAUCGUAGAUCAGAAUGCUACGGUGAAUACGUUCCCGGGUCUUGUACACACCG
This 439-nucleotide ribosomal RNA is filed under the name uncultured bacterium. RNAcentral's name for it is "bacterial SSU rRNA". It matches the Rfam family "Bacterial small subunit ribosomal RNA", at positions 954 to 1392 of the family's 1533-position model. The record is from RNAcentral.